GCGAACGCUGGCGGCAGGCCUAACACCUGCAAGUCGCACGAACUCUUCGGAGUUAGUGGCGGACGGGUGAGUAACACGUGGGAACGUGCCUUUAGGUUCGGAAUAACUCAGGGAAACUUGUGCUAAUACCGAAUGUGCCCUUCGGGGGAAAGAUUUAUCGCCUUUAGAGCGGCCCGCGUCUGAUUAGCUAGUUGGUGAGGUAAAGGCUCACCAAGGCGACGAUCAGUAGCUGGUCUGAGAGGAUGAUCGGCCACAUUGGGACUGAGACACGGCCCAAACUCCUACGGGAAGCAGCAGUGGGGAAUCUUGCGCAAUGGGCGAAAGCCUGACGCAGCCAUGCCGCGUGAAUGAUGAAGGUCUUAGGAUUGUAAAAUUCUUUCACCGGGGACGAUAAUGACGGUACCCGGAGAAGAAGCCCCGGCUAACUUCGUG
Molecule: ribosomal RNA, 432 nt
Filed under: uncultured bacterium
Lineage: Bacteria
Description: partial 16S ribosomal RNA
Rfam family: Bacterial small subunit ribosomal RNA
Source: RNAcentral